RNAcentral lists this ribosomal RNA (253 nucleotides) under uncultured bacterium. RNAcentral describes it as "partial 16S ribosomal RNA". It matches the Rfam family "Bacterial small subunit ribosomal RNA", at positions 524 to 776 of the family's 1533-position model. The record is from RNAcentral.
UACGUAGGGUCCAAGCGUUAUCCGGAAUCACUGGGCGUAAAGCGUGCGUAGGCGGUCUGUUAAGUGAGAUGUGAAAUCGUGUGGCUCAACCAUAUCGUUGUGUCUCAUACUGGCAGACUAGAGGAUAGCAGAGGCAAGUGGAAUUACGAGUGUAGCAGUGAAAUGCGUAGAGAUUCGUAGGAACACCAAUGGCGAAGGCAGCUUGCUGGGCUAUAUCUGACGCUCAGGCACGAAAGCGUGGGGAGCGAACAGG